CCUACGGGAGGCAGCAGUGGGGAAUAUUGCACAAUGGGGGAAACCCUGAUGCAGCGACGCCGCGUGAGUGAAGAAGUAUUUCGGUACGUAAAGCCCUAUCAGCAGGGAAGAAAAUGACGGUACCUGACUAAGAAGCCCCGGCUAACGACGUGCCAGCAGCGGCGGUAAUACGUAGGGGGCAAGCGUUAUCCGGAUUUACUGGGUGUAAAGGGAGCGUAGACGGCAGCGCAAGUCUGGAGUGAAAUCCCAUGGCUUAACCAUGGAACUGCUUUGGAAACUGUGCAGCUAGAGUGCAGGAGAGGUACGCGGAAUGCCUGGUGUAGCGGUGAAAUGCGUAGAUAUUAGGAGGAACACCAGUGGCGAAGGCGGCUUACUGGACUGUAACUGACGUUGAGGCUCGAAAGCGUGGGGAGCAAACAGGAUUAGAUACCCGGGUAGUC
This 440-nucleotide ribosomal RNA is filed under the name uncultured bacterium. RNAcentral describes it as "partial 16S ribosomal RNA". It matches the Rfam family "Bacterial small subunit ribosomal RNA", at positions 338 to 795 of the family's 1533-position model. The record is from RNAcentral.